RNAcentral lists this ribosomal RNA (468 nucleotides) under uncultured bacterium. RNAcentral describes it as "partial 16S ribosomal RNA". It matches the Rfam family "Bacterial small subunit ribosomal RNA", at positions 28 to 507 of the family's 1533-position model. The record is from RNAcentral.
GACGAACGCUGGCGGCGUGCUUAACACAUGCAAGUCGAACGGAAAGGCCCUGCUUUUGUGGGGUGCUCGAGUGGCGAACGGGUGAGUAACACGUGAGUAACCUGCCCUUGACUUUGGGAUAACUUCAGGAAACUGGGGCUAAUACCGGAUAGGAGCUCCUGCUGCAUGGUGGGGGUUGGAAAGUUUCGGCGGUUGGGGAUGGACUCGCGGCUUAUCAGCUUGUUGGUGGGGUAGUGGCUUACCAAGGCUUUGACGGGUAGCCGGCCUGAGAGGGUGACCGGCCACAAUGGGAAUGAGACACGGCCCAGACUUCUACGGGAGGCAGGAGUUGGGAAUAUUGCCCAAUGGGGGGAAGGCUGAUGCAGCGACGCCGCGUGGGGGAUGAAGGCCUUCGGGUUGUAAACCGCUUUCGCCUGUGACGAAGCGUGAGUGGCGGUAAUGGGUAAAGAAGCACCGGCUAACUACGUG